UCCUGUUUGGAAAAUGUUGCACAUUAUGUUCCUUGAGCAAUUUUCUGUUUUGGCAAAAGUCACUGCUACAGCAGCUGGAAGGAUGAAGGUGACAGGACUAAGUGUUCUCUACUAGCCCCACUCAUUUGAUGUAUGGAGAUCCCUGCAGAGAUAAAGAAGAAUGAGUAUAAAGGAAAUUCAAGGGAGCAAGAAGCAGGGUAAGGGCUGAAGCGUCUUUCAUACUAUGAUGAAAAGAACAGGAUCAUCCCUAAAAGCAGAAGAACUAACAGCUCCAGCUUCUGCUGUUGUAGCAGAGAUAGGUACUGUUUACAUCAGGGAAUGCAGAUUACAGCAGGAGUUAACCUCGGCUUUCCUGGAAACUCUCAUCUGACUUAAGUCCAAGUAAGUCUACUGAGCUCAGAAAAGUUAGGCUUCUCUUUAAGUUUAUAUUGGCAAAAACAAAAGCAGAAGCAUUUCUAAAUGCGGUGAUGGAAGUAUGCAGCCUAUGGACAAGUUAAAGACUAAAUGAGAUUCUGCACUCAGCUGCAGACAUGUAAGCGCAAGAUAGCUCUAUUUACCUUGCAGUAACUGAGAUCUGAUCUCUUCAUCUCUGCUUUUUGGAGGUUACACUCCAGACAAAUCACAUUCUGAGUAUGUUUGUAGCCAUGUUAUCAGCAUACUUACAGUACAAUUCCCAAUUUGCUGCCAUCUGCUUUACAUGUAAAGUUAAGAAGAGCAGGUGUCUACAGGAUCAGAAGCCUUAAUCCUCUGAUAACAUGAAAAAUUGCCAAUGAAAGCGGUAUGUUCUUAGUUGCCUAAGGAAUAGUUGGUAAUGAAACUGCUUGUUAAUUACAGUAAGGAGUUCAGUGAUAUGGACAUUAGGUCCUAAGUAAGGCAAGACUCUGGUCAGGGAGGCAAAUUCAGGAGAAUGUUUGUAGGGGGAAAGUAGGCAAGGGACUACAGUAAAAUUGAUUUUCCAGUGUGGCUUAUGUUGUUAGUACACAUGUCAAUUCUGUAUGCUUUGCCUAACUAGUUAAGUUUUUGCUUGCUCCUGUUUUUGCUGGAUAGCACAAGAACUUGAAUAUUACAGCAUGGUUUUAUACUGUACUCAUAACUGGGAAUAGUGUGAGUUUCACUUCACUGAUAAACAUUCUCUAUAGGAAAUGUCCAUGUUGUCUGUACUGCACAUUUACAGGUUGAACUUUCCAGUGUCCAACUUUUCCUUAAUGAAAGAAAGGAAAAGAUUUGCAGGAGGGAAAUUUUAUGGAAAGUGCUCAUCAACUUUUGUGGUCACUCU
RNAcentral lists this long non-coding RNA (1276 nucleotides) under Chrysolophus pictus (golden pheasant). RNAcentral describes it as "lncRNA (ENSCPIG00010011536.1)". Lineage: Eukaryota; Metazoa; Chordata; Aves; Galliformes; Phasianidae. The record is from RNAcentral.